Molecule: ribosomal RNA, 93 nt
Filed under: uncultured bacterium
Lineage: Bacteria
Description: partial 16S ribosomal RNA
Source: RNAcentral
CCGCCCGUCACACCAUGGAAGUGUAUUGCACCAGAAGCAGGUAGCCUGACCGCAAGGAGGGCGCCACCACGGUGUGGUCCAUCGACUGGGGUG